This is a long non-coding RNA of Eubalaena glacialis (North Atlantic right whale), 233 nucleotides long. RefSeq lists it as uncharacterized. The record is from RefSeq and is a predicted model, not a curated record. The transcript has 3 exons. Lineage: Eukaryota; Metazoa; Chordata; Mammalia; Artiodactyla; Balaenidae.
ACCAGAGCGGGCAAUGGGAUGCCGAGGGGGACAAGAAACCAAGAAGCAAUCUAGCUCCCCUUUCACAUUGAACCAGAGGUCCCCUGGGGGCGAGCGGGCACACAAGUUGGGAGCUUUACUGACCGUCUGCGUCAAAGUGCUUCCAGAUCUCCAGGAACUGGGACGCCGUCAGCUCGGCCAGGUGCAGACUCCUCCCUACUUUCCUCAGAGAUGAUUGCAAAUUAAUGUGUGCA